UUGAAUAAAAUAUUAUUUUAAUAUAAUUAUUUUUAGUUAUUACAAUUUUGUGCAAACUUUAAAUACCACAUAUAUAGUUAUGGUUUAAAGUAUAUCAAUUUAGUAUCCUAUAGUUUCAUUUUUUUUCUUUUUAUUAUUCAUUCCACUAAUUUUUUUCGUUACGUUAGUAACAAAGUUAAAACUAAAGAUUGCUAAAGUGAAUACUUGAUAAAUCUGAGUGGGGUAUUUGAAGUUUUUUAUAUAUAAUUUAACGAAAUAUUAACGAAGGAGCCGACGAAAAAUGAAAAAUGAAACUACAGGAUACCAAUUUGAUAUAUUUUAAACUCAAAAUAUUAAAAUGAAAAAGUACGAACAAUGUGGAUGGUAUUUGAAGUUUAUUGUACAAAUUUUAAUAUUAGAUAGAAAUAGAAGCAUGUAAUUAAAGUGUUUU
RNAcentral lists this long non-coding RNA (430 nucleotides) under Ananas comosus (pineapple). RNAcentral describes it as "long non-coding RNA (ACOM_LNC028662)". The record is from RNAcentral. Lineage: Eukaryota; Viridiplantae; Streptophyta; Magnoliopsida; Poales; Bromeliaceae.